UAGAGUUUGAUCCUGGCUCAGAACGAACGUUGGCGGUGUGGAUUAGGCAUGCAAGUCGAACGAAUGCUAUCUGUGUAGCAAUACAUGGGUAGAGGAAGUGGCGAAAGGGAGAGUAACGCGUAGUUACGUACCCCGAGGCCCGGAAUAGCCACGGGAAACUGUGGGUAAUGCCGGAUAAUAUCUUAGGAUCAAAGAUGUGAUUUCACCUUGGGAGCGGACUGCGUCGUACUAGCUUGUUGGUGGGGUAAUGGCCUACCAAGGCGAUGAUGCGUAGCGGGUGUGAGAGCAUGACCCGUCUCACUGGGACUGAGACACUGCCCAGACGCCUACGGGUGGCUGCAGUCGAGAAUCUUCGGCAAUGGACGAAAGUCUGACCGAGCGACGCCGCGUGCGGGAUGAAGGCCUUCGGGUUGUAAACCGCGAAAGUAGGGAGGAAGGCUUCGUGAAUAACGAGGUUUGACCAAUCUAUACGUAGGGACGGCUAAGGACGUGCGCGCACGCGCGUGAAUGCGGGCCGGUCCACGAUCUUUUGUCCAUUUGGCGGCUGUCAGGGGGUGGUUGACGCCUAGGACGACCCGUCUCCUCCGUUUGGGCGGCUGCCAUUGUAAGUGUGCUGCAAGCCAGUCGGGCAAUGAGAGAUAUGGCGAAUAAGAGAACGAGACUCCCCCCACUAUGAUGUUCGUCACCCUCGAGGGUCGCGGCCGAUGCUAACAUCCCACUUCAGCUGACCCGUGACCCCGCACCAUAAUAGUGAGGAUGACGGUAAGGGAGGCUGUUUGGGCCCCUAGGCAUCUAUUAUCGGGGCUCGCGGUCCGAUGGGCGCGUCGACGACCCUGAGCAACUCAGCCGCCGC
This 853-nucleotide ribosomal RNA is filed under the name uncultured bacterium. Its description in RNAcentral is "bacterial SSU rRNA". The stretch from base 3 to 534 matches the Rfam family "Bacterial small subunit ribosomal RNA", at positions 9 to 546 of the family's 1533-position model. The record is from RNAcentral.